UUGGUGGGUUCCGGAGACGGGGGAGGGGCGGGGCCCGCGGGCCGACUGCCGACAGCGAUUGGUGGGCAGCGCUGUCGAUCGCAGGGGAGGAGGCGGAGGCGCGGCGCGGGCCGCAGCCCCGGGAACAGCCUGGGGGCCGGGCGACAGCCGGGCUGGGGGCGGGGCGGCGUGGGCCGGAGGCGCUGGAGGAGGGGAGCGGAAGGUGGGGGAGCGGGGGCGCUGCGGCGGGCGCGCAUGGGGGCGGCCCUUCGCAGAGUCGCGAGUCGCGGCGCCUCUUGGGCGCAGCUCCCGGCGGCGGCGGGGGUCGCGGGCUCGCGCCGGGCGGGGGAAGGUCCCUGGGCGGCCCGAGGCCGGCCGUGUGGGCGCAAGAACGGAUGGAGGGAGGCCGGCGUGCUGUCUCAGGGUCCGGCGUGGACCCGGAGUUUCGGGAGAUCCUGAAACCCCUGGGCGGCGCUGAGGCCCACUCGGGCUCGGCCUGUGGGUGGCCCGCCGGGGGUCAAAGCUGCCCUGCUGUCCGGCGUGCACAUGGACAUCUGCCAAGACUGGCCCAGCGGCGUGUCCCUGGUUCCCGACUGCGGCCGCCCUGUCGUCUCCCUGUCUAGGGUGGCUCCUUAUGUGGGGGGAUCUCCUGGGCCAGGUGUGUCCCCUGGACGUGGCACAGGGACAUGUGAGGUCCCGUCCCCUUGGGUAGCACAUGAGUACAGUUAUCCUCUGCUGCGGCUCACCCUAGAAUGUGCUAGAAUAACCGUGAUAUAACCGGCCAGGCAGAGAGCAGAGCGGGCCAAGGGGCCAGGCUGGCUCCGGUGCCCGGGCGUGUGCAGGUGGACACCCGUGGGGGACAGAGGGUAUUUGGCUACGAGCUCCUGGAGCAAAUGGUAGGGAAUUUUGGGAAGAGGAGUCUGGGGUCUUGGGGAGAGCGAUGCCCAUAGUCCAGGUCCACAGGGCAGCCAGACCGAGAAGCCACAGAAGCACCUGGCCUCUGGCAGGGGCAGGGUGGGCAGUGGGCUGGGGACGCAGUGGGCUGGGGACGCUGGGCCAGUCCCUUCUGCGGUCCCUCCGGGACACAGGCUGCAGCUGGGGCUGGCACUGGGCUCCACAUCUCGAGGAGCCAGGCCACUGCCACGCUUUCAGAUCCCAAAGAAGUGUGGAGUUUCAGAACUGCUUCCCUGGCAGGUCUGGUCGGAAGGUGACGUGACUUUGAGAAAAAUCAUUUUAGUUUUCUAGCUUGAGAAUAUGAUUUACGCCAUCAGGCUUUUCUCUUUCUCUCUCUCAAGAGUUGGAAGAAACAGACAUUUUUGCAGAGGCUCCUGGAAACUUUGGCUGUCGCCUGGAUGUCCCUAUGAAAAGAACAUUCCACCCGUGGGGAAAAACAACUUAAACAGCUUGGGGUGACAUUUAACCUCCACACCGACCAUGUGGCCUUUACAGAGUGCCACUCUGUGGGGACAGAAGCGAGGCCUCAGGGGAGCUCGGGCAGCUCUGCUGUUAAUUCACACCCAGAUUCUGAGACUUUCUCUGCACCGCAGGUGCCAACAGUCCUUUGUGCGGCCUCAGGGGCUGGUGUGUUGGGUUCAGUUGUAAUUUUCCUUCAUUCUUUGGCCUGCAGAGUUCCUGCUGGGAAACGUCAGUGACCUUGAUUCUGCAUCAGGAGAGUAAAAGCCGACACUCUUCCUGCGGGGACACAGGCUCCUUGUUGGAGAGCCGACGUGGGAUUUCAGUGCAGUGUGGCUGGGAAGUUGAGCUGGUAAUUUGCAGGCAGUUGGGACAGGUCUGAUCUGACUGGGAGUGUCAGUCCUAGGACAGCCCUGCGUGGCUUUGCUGGAUGGGCAACCCCCCGUCGUCUGAGGGAGGUAUAGAGGCCGAGGGUGCAGGUGCAUUUGAGUUUAUGCCGAGCUCCGCCUGCAGGAGCAGGGGGCCUGGCAGCUGGGCCCCCUGGUCUGCGGAGAGGAGGCAGGGCGCUGGCCUGGGCCAGUGGGCAGGGACUGAGCAUCGGGGAGCCUUCACUGCCACCUGGUGGACGGCCCAGAAAGGUGAUGGGGACUGGUGGCCCUUGCAGAGAGACGUGGCCCAGGCAAGGCGGGGAUGUGCAGAGCAUCUUCGAGGACAGUCGGGUGGACAGGCUGCAGGAAUGGGUGGGAUGGUGACAGGGACAGGGCAGCCAUGGACUCCGGUCGUGUCAGUCCUCGUGCUUGCCCCUGAGUCUGGGCAGUCGGCCGGUGGCUGCAGCGCUCCGGGUCUGAGGGACGGGAAAUUCUCUGAUGAUGUUCGAGGCCCCACAAAGCCAUAGACCUCCGGGAGCCUGUCCUCCUGGGGCCCAGCGAGGAAGGAAAGGUCAUACUUGUGAGAGAGGAUGGGGUCCCCUCCCCUGACAGCCCUGGCUGUGACCCGUAUCUUCAGAAGCCCCUGUGAGCUCGUGUUUGAAGACUGAGGUGAAGAUCACGUAACAGAGGAAGCGUUUUCGAAGUGUGCAGCUCCGUCCUCAUUACAGGCGUCGAGUGCGUUCACCGCGCCCUGCGCCCACCUCCCCCAUCUGGUUCCGGAGCACUGUCAUCCGCUCGAGGGGAGCCCCGGCCCGCCCGCGGCUGGCGCCUGCUCUCUGCAUCCGUGGGCUUCUCGUCAGUGCGAUCCUACCCCGUGUGAUCUUUUGCGUUUGGCGCAUGUCUUGGGCGUCCGCCGUGUGGCAGCUCCCUGGUCCUCUUCACGGCUGAGUACUAUGCGCCGCGUGCUGUCCGUCCACAGUGGGGCCGCGGGAAGGUCUGCACCUUCGGGGGACCGUGGGCGGUGCUGCCGCCAACCUGCACACGCACCCUUCUGUUGGAACGCUGUUUUCAGGUCCGUGGCGUGUGUCUCCAGGGGUGGGCCUGCUGGGUCACGUGGUGACUCUAUGUUUAGCUUUUUGAGGAACCACCCAGCUGUUCCUCCUAGUGACUCACGAUCCACAUCCCCACCAGCACCACGCAAGGGCUCGGAUUUCUCCACUUCCUCACCGGCUUUGUGAUUUGUUUUUUGGGUCUGGCCAUCCUGGUGGAUGGGAGGUGAUGUCCCAGUGUGGUUUUGAUUUGCAUUUCCCUGAAGCCUCGUGACAGGGGGCACCUUGGCACGUGUGUGGCGCUUUCCUUGGAGGAGCCAGACUUCUCUAGAAUUUCGUUAUCUCAGAACUCCAUCAGGGAAGUGAGCCCUGGAGGCCAGACAGCCGCUCUCAGAGGCUUCUGACCAAAACUCGGCCCCCGUCCGCCCAGCUACCGAAGGGACUCCCUGGACCCAGUUCAGCUGCGUCCUGCAGCCCAGGCAGAGCCCCAGAAGCAGCAGGGACCACGGGCCACUCUGUGAGUUGAGCAAUUCCUGGGUGCAUUCCGGAUGGAGCCCCCUGGCCUGAAGACGGUCCCGGGCUGUCCGGCAUCUGAGAUGUCUUCGAGGACCUGCAGCCCCUCCCCUGCCCGGUGCUCUCAGGGAAGAAACAGGGCAGUUGCCCUCAGACGCGCAGAGUGAAUGGAAGUGCUGACCUGUUGCCUGCGGAUGCUUUGGGUGGGAGCCCAGACCAUCUGUGGCCCUGGCAGGACUGGGCUGCCAGGUGGUGUCCGGGAGCCAGGGAGCUGGGCUCCAGCAACCUGCCCAAGGCCUCUGACCACCAGCCCCCGGGACAGGUGGGGUGGGACCAGGCUUCAGCCUUGUCACACAGAGGCCAGGACCUGGGAGGGGCUUUCCCUGGGCCACGAGACCUCCCUCUCCCCACCCAGGGCCCUGGGCCGCUGCAUCUGCAUCCUGGUGGUCAAGAGCCUCAGGCUUGAGCAGCAUCGGGCUUUGUCAGGAGAUCGGGUAGGUGACUGGGGACCUGGAGAGCUACCUGGUCCAUCUAGCGGCCCCCGACCCCGGGGUCACGCUGCCGCACCACGGCCCUCCCGGCCUGCCCAGACGCCUCCCACCCCGGGCCCGGCCCUCCUGUCCUCUGGCGGGCCAUCUUGCCCAACUGUGGUGAGGAACCCGGAGCCGGGAAGGGGGAUCUGACGGUGCACACACAUGGUCUUCGGCAGAGGGUUUAAGCCGUGGGAGCCACUGGAGGCCUCUUUCUCCUUGCCGUACGCCCAGGCCCUUCGAAGGCUGUGUAUCGAAGGGGGCCUGCCGGAAGCUUCCUCACGGCGCCCCCCCCCCCCCAAGAGCUGCCAAUAUCGAAGGCCCGUGAUUCAGAUUUUCUCAAAGCAGGCGCAAGCAACGCUUCCGACGGCUCUCAGAUGCUCCAACAGGGCAAGCUCUGUAUUUUGUCCUUUUCCUAUUUUGUAGCGGGCACCCUGGCCUGGCACCUGCUACUCCAUCCUAGGCAGUGGAAGUCUGUUUCCCGAGUCUAAAAUUCUAAUUUGCUUCCAGUAGUUCAUUGCUAGUAAAUAGAAAUAUGUAUGGAAUUUUAUACAGUGACCUGGUAGUCCAUAAGCUCACUAACCUGCUGGUUAGUUCUCACAGAUUUCCUGUAGAUUCCUUCGGGUUUUUGUUUUUGUUUUUUUUAAAGAUUUUAUCCAUUUAUUUGACAGCGAGAGCAGGAACACAAGCAGGGGGAGUGGGAGAGGGAGAAGCAGGCUUCCUGCUGAGCAGGGAGCCCGACGUGGGGCUUGAUCCCAGGACUCUGGGAUCAUGACCCGAGCUGAAGGCAGACGCCCAACGACUGGGCCACCCAGGCGCCCCAUCCUUCGGGGUUUUCUACGUACAUAGUCACAUUGCCACAACUAGAAACUUAUCUUUCUUCCUUCCCAACGUGUGUGCAUUUGAUUUCUCUCCUGAUGCUGCUGACUAGGACCCCCAAUGAGAUGUUGAAUAGAAGUGACCAGAGGAGUCCCCUUGCCUGGUUCCCCGUCUUAUGGGGGAAGAGCAUUCAGCCCUUUGCCAUUAAGCAUUCUGUUAGCUGUAGGGUUUUGCAGAUGCCUUUUAUAAAGAAGUUCCCUCUUUUCCUAGUUUGCAAAGUUUUUUUUAAUGCUAGCUGCUCAAUUUUGUCACAUGCUUUUCUUGCAUCUACUGAGAUGUCAUCAGACUUUUUUUAGUCUGUUGAUAUUGUGAAUUACAUUGAUUGAUAUCUGUAUGUAAUUGAACCUUACAUUUCCAGGAUAAACCCCUACAUUUCUGGGAUAAACCCCAUUUGAUUGAUCCCAGAAUCAAGUUAUUCCAGGAUAAAGAGCCCUUCUUACAUAUUGCUGGAUUAGGUUUGCUCCUGUUUUGCUGAGGAUCUUGUGUCUGUGUUCAUGCUGGAUGCUGGUAGAGUACGUUGAGAAGCACUCCCUCAUCGGCUUUCCCUGAGUUCGUGCAAAAUUGCUAUGAUGUCUCCCCUUGGUGUCUAGCGGGACUGCAUUUCUUUAGCAGACACGAGUGCGCGCCCCAUCCGGGCAGCCUUGACGAGCUGCCUGGUGUGUGGUUUUCAAGGAAUUGGUCCCUUUCUUCUAGAUUGAUGAAUUCACAGGCAUAAAACUAAUAUUUCCUUAAUAUACUUUUACUGUUUACAGGGUCUCUAGUGAUGGUUCCCUUUCAUUCCCGAUGUUGUAAUUUGUGCCUCCUUUGUCCUGGUCAGUCUGGCUCAGGCUCAUCAAAUUGACUGAGCUUGGGGCGCCUGGGUGGCUCAGUUGGUUAAGCAACUGCCUUCGGCUCAGGUCAUGAUCCUGGAGUCCCGGGAUCGAGUCCCACAUCGGGCUCCCUGCUCGGCGGGGAGUCUGCUUCUCCCUCUGAUCCUCCCCUUCUCAUGCUUUCUGUCUCCCAUUCUCUCUCAGAUAAAUAAAUAAAAUCUUAAAAAAAAAAAAAAAUUGACUGAGCUUGCCAAAUAACUGCGUUUUGCUGUCACUGAUUUUUCUUUCAUGUUUUUGUCUUCAUUGAUUUCUGCUGUUAUUUCUUUUGUUCUGAUUACCUUGGAUUUAAUUUGCCCCUUUUCUAAUUAAUUAAGGUGAAAGUUUAGCUCAUUGAUUAGAAACUUUCCUUUUAAAAAAAUAUGCAUUUAGUAUUAUGAAUUUCCCUCAGAGGAAAAGUGCUACUUUAGCUAUAGUCCACAAAUGUUAAUGUUUUAAUUUUCAUUCACUUAAAAAAUAUUUUCUAACUUCUCUUGUGAAUUCCUCUUUACCCCAUUGUUUAAUAUCUGUGGAUCUUUCAGAGACCUGUCAUUGAUUUCCAGUCAUUACUUUAUGGUCUGAGAACAUACUUUGUAGGAUUUCAAUUUUUUUUUUUUAAAUUUUGUUCAGGUUUACGGGAUGGCCCAGAACACGGUGCAUGUUGGUGAGCGUUCUGUGUUGCGUGAACAGAAUGUGCGCUCUGCAGUGGGUGAGUCGGUCCGGCUGGUCUCCAUCCUCAUCCUGGAAGCCUUGCUGCCUCGUGUCCAGCCUCCAAGAGAUGGUCCGUCCUUUGGUUCUGCCGCUUGUGCGUUGAAGUGCUGUGGUUCUAUGGGUACUCGGACUGCAAUGUCUGCCUUUGUCACAUAACGUCCCCCCCCCCCCCCCCGUCUCGGCGAUAUUCGUCUUGAAAUCCACGCUGUCUGAUGCUGACGUGACCACUGCAGCUUUCCCCGGAUUCGCAUCUCCCAAGAUACAUUUUCCCCAUCUUUUUAUUUUUUUCCUGUCUUUAUAUUAAAGUGGGCUUCUGAGACAUGGCA
Mirounga angustirostris (Northern elephant seal) is the source of this 6613-nucleotide long non-coding RNA. RefSeq lists it as uncharacterized. The record is from RefSeq and is a predicted model, not a curated record. Lineage: Eukaryota; Metazoa; Chordata; Mammalia; Carnivora; Phocidae. The transcript is spliced from 2 exons.